UGUCUUAUGUGGACCAGCACAUUUUACGC
This 29-nucleotide small RNA is filed under the name Bombyx mori (domestic silkworm). RNAcentral's name for it is "ovarian small RNA-35838". Lineage: Eukaryota; Metazoa; Arthropoda; Insecta; Lepidoptera; Bombycidae. The record is from RNAcentral.